This 465-nucleotide ribosomal RNA is filed under the name Vreelandella stevensii. RNAcentral describes it as "partial 16S ribosomal RNA". It matches the Rfam family "Bacterial small subunit ribosomal RNA", at positions 338 to 795 of the family's 1533-position model. Lineage: Bacteria; Pseudomonadati; Pseudomonadota; Gammaproteobacteria; Oceanospirillales; Halomonadaceae. The record is from RNAcentral.
CCUACGGGAGGCUGCAGUGGGGAAUUUUGGACAAUGGGGGGAACCCUGAUCCAGCCAUGCCGCGUGUGUGAAGAAGGCCCUCGGGUUGUAAAGCACUUUCAGUGAGGAAGAACGCCUGGUGGUUAAUACCCAUCAGGAAAGACAUCACUCACAGAAGAAGCACCGGCUAACUCCGUGCCAGCAGCCGCGGUAAUACGGAGGGUGCGAGCGUUAAUCGGAAUUACUGGGCGUAAAGCGCGCGUAGGUGGCUUGAUAAGCCGGUUGUGAAAGCCCCGGGCUCAACCUGGGAACGGCAUCCGGAACUGUCAAGCUAGAGUGCAGGAGAGGAAGGUAGAAUUCCCGGUGUAGCGGUGAAAUGCGUAGAGAUCGGGAGGAAUACCAGUGGCGAAGGCGGCCUUCUGGACUGACACUGACACUGAGGUGCGAAAGCGUGGGUAGCAAACAGGAUUAGAUACCCUAGUAGUC